CCUUGAAAAAGGCGAGUGUUUGAAAUGGAAAGACGCAAAGCUGCGAGUCUGAAAUCCUUCUGAAUAGGGAUAGUCGAGUUGUCAAA
The sequence is a regulatory RNA element, 86 nucleotides long. It matches the Rfam family "c-di-GMP-I riboswitch aptamer". From Rfam's summary of the family: GEMM was predicted in a large-scale screen for bacterial structured RNA regulatory elements. The record is from Rfam.